CAGGGCUACAGUGAUCUGUCCCUCCGGAUGCCCGAGCCGCUGCCCUGUACUGGGACAUGCUGCAGGCUGCACAGGCCGCCUCUGCUGGACUGCUAGGGAAAGGGUGCGGAGGAGUCACGGGAAGGUUGAGAAAAGGCAAGGGAAUUACAGGGCCAAAGAGGAGUUGUGGUCGGCUCCUGUGUGCCUCUGUGUGCUUUCCAAAUGGUGACAGUGAACCCGUGUUGCAUAAGGUAAUGGAAAGAACGUCAUCCACCAGGCACCCUGGUGGUAAAUGAAGUACAUUGUUUGGGUUUGAAAGAAAGAACUCUAAGUGAGUUGUGGUGGGACCCUAGGGAUGGGCUCAGGUGACAAAAGGUGUUGCUAAAAUGCCUUCCAAGAAAGCUGGGCCCUGUUAACAGGAGGCCCCUGGCUGCAGGGGGGAAAAAAAAUCAGGGAUUAGUCUUGGUUGACAAGACAGUUGCUCAACUCAGAAUUGGCUGGGGAGCAUUUACUACACCCCGUGCCCAGCACCUUCACACCAGACCAUUUGGUUCCAAAUCUUGGGAAGUGGGGAAGCAAGAGGGCACCAAAGGUUUCUAAGUGUCCUCAGAUGACUCCAGCAUGCCAACAUGCUGCUGGUAAGUGGAGCCGAACUGAUCUCUUGUCAAACCAGAGGGGAGGGGAAGAGAGAAGUUGUGGGUGGUGAUGGUGGAGAGGGAAGGGCGAUAGGAAGUCCUCUGGGAAUGUGUUGGACAGAAGGAACUUCAGAGAAAACAUUUUUUUUUUUUUAAAGGAAACUUUCAAACUUACAGAAGAGUGGAGAGACUCGCACAAAGAUGCCAUUACCCGUUACCAGCCUCAUCAGUCAGCAAUGUGGAGUCCCCUCCUGAAUGAGGGGGCUUGAGGUAGGUGCCAUAGGGAGGCGAUGUGUCCCUGGCUUCCCUGGGAACCCCCUGUAAAGCCCACACGGCUGGCUCACCAGUGAUUCCGUGACCGCAGAUCCUUGGCUGGAAUACACAGCACCAGCGCCGAGCUCUCAGGGUAAAAUGUAAUCUGACAGGAAGGAGAGCCAACAGCUGCGGCACGGGACUUUUGUAUUAAAGGCAGAAAAUAAAGUUAUAUAUAAAAAGAGAUCACCA
Molecule: long non-coding RNA, 1118 nt
Filed under: Canis lupus familiaris (dog)
Lineage: Eukaryota; Metazoa; Chordata; Mammalia; Carnivora; Canidae
Description: lncRNA (ENSCAFG00000058502.1)
Source: RNAcentral